This is a long non-coding RNA of Bombus pascuorum, 730 nucleotides long. RefSeq lists it as uncharacterized. The transcript has 2 exons. The record is from RefSeq and is a predicted model, not a curated record. NCBI's taxonomy places the organism in Eukaryota, Metazoa, Arthropoda, Insecta, Hymenoptera, Apidae.
GUAGAUAGCAUUACUAUGCACGAAAUAGGACGCUUUGCCUUCAUUACAUAUAAUUAAUUAAGUAUGUAAGAAAGGGGAAUAAUAUUAUAUAAAGAAGAUUUCUCGGAGUUACAGUUUUAAUUAGAUCCUGCACAGAUCAAGAAUUCGCAUUGUAAACCGCGAUUACAUUUUUUAAUUUCACCAUAAAGAGAUUAGUUCUAUUAUUUCACCGCUAGAGUUUCAAUAAAUCAGAAUACUUUAAAGUCAUUUAAAAACCUUGUUUGUUAUUCUUUUUAAUAUCCAAUGCCAUACUGUCUGCUUUUGGGUAUCUCUAUACACUCUAUGUUACAGUACCAACACUAUGAACGAAAAUAUAUUUUGUUUUUUCUUUCAAAACAAUGGAAGAAGAAGUACGCAAAUAUUUCAAGAUUAAAUGAGGGGAACGGUAUACUUAUUAAUAUAUCGCAAAUAAAUAUUUAUUUAAAAAAACUAUGGAGACUUUGAAAUUUCAUAAAAGAAAUGAUUAUGAAAAAUACUAAUUUCUAUUAUUGCAUGUGACUCUGGAAAUAUUGUAACUUUAUCCUCAGGGGAUUUUUCAUUUAAUGACAAAUAAAUCAAAUAUUUAGGUGAUCAAAUUUAGCUGGUUCAGCUUGUAUGUAACCAACAUAAUUUUGAUUUAUAUUAAAUAAUGCAUGUGUUUUACAUUUAUAGUAUGUAACUAAAUAAAAUAUUUAAAACAUCAAAAAUGUAU